UUCCGGUUGAUCCUGCCGGAGGCCACUGCUAUUGGGGUCCGAUUAAGCCAUGCGAGUCAUGGGGCGCCUUGUGCGCACCGGCGGACGGCUCAGUAACACGUCGGUAACCUACCCUCGGGAGGGGGAUAACCCCGGGAAACUGGGGCUAAUCUCCCAUAGGUUUAGGGCACUGGAAGGUCCCUAAACCGAAAGGGGCUCUGCCCGCCCGAGGAUGGGCCGGCGGCCGAUUAGGUAGUUGGUGGGGUAACGGCCCACCAAGCCCAUAAUCGGUACGGGCAGUGAGAGCUGGAGCCCGGAGAUGGACACUGAGACACGGGUCCAGGCCCUACGGGGCGCAGCAGGCGCGAAACCUCCGCAAUGCUCGAAAGAGCGACGGGGGGACCCCAAGUGCCGUGGUACAACCACGGCUUUUCCGGAGUGUAAGAAGCUCCGGGAAUAAGGGCUGGGCAAGGCCGGUGGCAGCCGCCGCGGUAAUACCGGCGGCCCGAGUGGUGGCCACUAUUAUUGGGCCUAAAGCGUCCGUAGCCGGGCUUGUAAGUCCCUGGCGAAAUCCCACGGCUCAACCGUGGGGCUUGCUGGGGAUACUGCAAGCCUUGGGACCGGGAGAGGCCGGGGGUACUCCUGGGGUAGGGGUGAAAUCCUAUAAUCCCAGGAGGACCGCCAGUGGCGAAGGCG
This 675-nucleotide ribosomal RNA is filed under the name uncultured archaeon. Its description in RNAcentral is "bacterial SSU rRNA". It matches the Rfam family "Archaeal small subunit ribosomal RNA", at positions 1 to 674 of the family's 1478-position model. The record is from RNAcentral.